GGUGGCGGAAGUUUUGAACGACACGGAGAACGAGAUGGCAAACUUUUCCAAAGAACUCACUUGUUUUAUUAAUAACGGUGUUUAUCAUCCCUCACUGCCACCUCGAAACACGUUGACGGCCGAAAAAGGGUGAUUCGGAGGGCGACCGGGCUCAGCUACACCUGAUGAGCGGCUGUUUAACAGCUGGAGAGGAAAUUCCCACCUGGCGGCAGCGGACCGAGAUCAGAUGCACAACAUGUUGACAGGACAUCACGACAGCGUGGGACGUCCAGGGAGACAGAGGACUGGACAGAGUGUCGGCUUCGUACCACUGGAAUCGUCCUGCUGAGGAAGUGGAGGAAUGGAGUUUGUCAGACUUCCUCGACGCCGCUCAGAGAGCGGAGGAUGGCGCCCCGGUCGCUGUGAACGGCCUCGGAGCAGCAGACGGAGGCUGCUGACGUCGGUGAUCGGCAUCAGAAGGAUUUGGUGAAGUUCAUGGGAAUCUGAGAGGCCAGAACGCACAGAAGACCCCGGGAAACGGUGGAGGAUCAGAAACGGGCGCCAAUCGAACGGGAAUGCCGUCCUUUUCCACCGCCUCGCUCUGAAUCUCCAAAGCUGCUGAUGAGCAGAUUUCCUCUGAAAAUACUUCUUUGCUGGUUUGACUGAAGACUCUUCAUGUUGGAGUCGAGCUGUUUCACUCUUCAGUGGGAUUCUACUUGUUGAAUUUGGAUUUGUCGAAGUUGUUUACACCAGUUUAAGUGGAUCAGAGAUUCCAGAUUGUUCCUUUCUUUUCCCGACAGCACAGAGUGGAGUUGUGAUUUGUUGUUGUGACUGAAUAAAAUUAAAUCAGUUCAUCAUUCUGAGGAGAAUUUUGUUUCUAUCGGUGAGGCUUACAAGAAUUCCAGCCAAGUAGAGCUUCUUCCAGUGGAGCUUUUAGAUUCAAACAACUAAUGAUUCUAGAUUAGAGUGACCUCUGACCUCUGGUUGUUUGUGGAUUUCCUCCUGACUUCUGGAUUCUGGUCACAAUUUCUAUCAUCCAGACGUGAUGAAAUCGUUUUUGUUUCCUCCGUUUUGCUGUGAACGUCGUGCUGCACUGCCGUGGCCCACAGCCAGAGGACAGCUGGGUCUAUUUCUGUUUCUUUAUGCUUUUGCACAUUUGUGAUUCAGAGUUGUGAUGCACAUAAAUGAGACUGUCUGUUCUGGAGCUACGAAGACCUCUGGACUGCAUGCAUGUGUGUGUAGAGAUUACUUAUUGACUCAGAAAAAGAAGAAAAAUAAAGAACUCUGAAUACAAAAUCCCCUUGGGGACAAUUAUAAUAAACCAAUAAUAUGCUUAUUUUCUAUAAAUACUAUGCAAUAAAAAAACUAAACCUUUAUUCUAUUUAUU
Long non-coding RNA from Salarias fasciatus (jewelled blenny), 1366 nucleotides. RefSeq lists it as uncharacterized. The transcript is spliced from 3 exons. NCBI's taxonomy places the organism in Eukaryota, Metazoa, Chordata, Actinopteri, Blenniiformes, Blenniidae. The record is from RefSeq and is a predicted model, not a curated record.